GCCCAUCAACGCUCUGUCAACCUUUUUACAGAGGAUUGACUUGACGCGGACAAUGGACCUCCGAGCCAGUAAUGGCACGGUGGGCUGAAGUGAAUGGUCGUCGGACGGUAACAGGGAUCGGCGAGUGGUGGGCUACUGCGCAUGCCAAUCCCGGCCGCCAUUUCGACGUAUGGCCUCUAUACCCCAGUCGAAACGAGGGGAUUGUUGUCACAGCAUCUUGUUGUGGGACAAUUUCGGACC
Molecule: unclassified non-coding RNA, 240 nt
Filed under: Isolepis crassiuscula
Lineage: Eukaryota; Viridiplantae; Streptophyta; Magnoliopsida; Poales; Cyperaceae
Source: RNAcentral